AAAGAGUUGCCUCAUUCAAGGGUGUCUAUUUUGUGGGAACCAUGUCCCCAAAAUCUUAAUUCUGCCUGGUUACAUAGUCCCUGUAAAGUCAUUCCAUCCAAAGUGCACAAAGAAACAUAGUUCCCAUGUUGGAAGCUAAUCACGGUUGUUGUUUUUCAUUUGAAGCCACAUAAAAUAUAAUUGCUUUUGUUCAUCGGUGAAAGUAUUUUAAUUUAUUUUAUUGAAAAUGAGAGGAAAUUGAUUUGUUGUUUAAAAAUAAAUUUGUGUCUGUGCUUAAGGAAAAGUUUUUCGAUUUCUUCGGAGAAAAUAGAAUUUCUUGUUUUCGUUCUGUAGCUUGAACUUAAAAAAAAUGUGGC
Molecule: long non-coding RNA, 356 nt
Filed under: Carica papaya (papaya)
Lineage: Eukaryota; Viridiplantae; Streptophyta; Magnoliopsida; Brassicales; Caricaceae
Description: long non-coding RNA (CPAP_LNC006585)
Source: RNAcentral